RNAcentral lists this ribosomal RNA (513 nucleotides) under Bacillus sp. DCU10. RNAcentral describes it as "partial 16S ribosomal RNA". It matches the Rfam family "Bacterial small subunit ribosomal RNA", at positions 734 to 1250 of the family's 1533-position model. Lineage: Bacteria; Bacillati; Bacillota; Bacilli; Caryophanales; Bacillaceae. The record is from RNAcentral.
CCUAAACUUACCCUGAGGCCGAAAGGGGGGAACAAACAGAAUUGUUUCCCUGUGGUCACCCGUAACGAUUUGUCUAAAGGGUUGGGGUUUUCCCCCUUUAUUCGGAAGUUAACGCAAUAAGCACCCCCCCUUGGGAUUACGGCCCCAAGGUUAAAACCUCAAAGGAAUUGGCGGGGGCCCCCCCCAAGCGGUUGAACCUUGUGGUUUUAAUUUGAAGCAACGGGGAAGACCUUAACCCAGGUUUUGACAUCCUGGGACAACCCCAAGAAAUAGGGCUUCUCCUUCGGGAGCUAGAGUCACAAGGUGGUGCAUGGUUUUCGUCAGCCCGUGUCGUGAAAUUUUUGGUUUAAGUCCCGCAACGAGCGCAACCCUUGAUUUUAGUUCCCAUCAUUAAGUUGGGCACUCUAAGGAGACUGCCGGUGACAAACCGGAGGAAGGUGGGGAUGACGUCAAAUCAUCAUGCCCCUUACGACCAGGGCUACACACGUGCUACAAUGACGGUCAAAGAGCAGC